CUACCGGGGUAUCUAAUCCCGUUUGCUCCCCUGGCUUUCGCGCCUCAGCGUCAGUAGAGAUCCAGUGCGCCGCUUUCGCCUCCGGCGUUCCUUCCAAUAUCAACGCAUUUCACCGCUCCACUGGAAGUUCCGCACACCCCUAUCUCCCUCAAGACCGACAGUAUCGAAGGCACUUCUGCAGUUAAGCUGCAGGAUUUCACCCCCGACUUGUCGGACCGCCUACGCGCCCUUUAAGCCCAGUGAUUCCGAACAACGUUAGGACAGUUCGUCUUACCGCGGCUGCUGGCAC
RNAcentral lists this ribosomal RNA (289 nucleotides) under uncultured Planctomycetia bacterium. RNAcentral's name for it is "partial 16S ribosomal RNA". The record is from RNAcentral. Lineage: Bacteria; Pseudomonadati; Planctomycetota; Planctomycetia.